Molecule: ribosomal RNA, 1167 nt
Filed under: Triticum aestivum (bread wheat)
Lineage: Eukaryota; Viridiplantae; Streptophyta; Magnoliopsida; Poales; Poaceae
Description: partial small subunit ribosomal RNA
Source: RNAcentral
AUGCAGCCCGCCGGCCGCGAAAUGCACGGCGGCGGGCAGGGGCAGGACGACUUCUUCGAGCAGAUGCUGUCCGCGCUGCCGACGGCCUGGGCCGAGCUCGGCUCCGUCAGGCCCCCCUGGGAGCUCCAGGCGGCCGGCGCGCCCCCGCACGACGGCGACCCCGGGUUCGACGAGUCCGCCCUCCUCGCCUCCCGCCUCCGCCACAACCAGAUCAGCGGCGGCGGAGGGGACGACAAGCCGCCGCCGGCCAUGCUUCCCCGCCACGGCCUCGACGGCGGGGGGUUCCUGCCGCUGCCUCUGUUCACUGACCGGUCGCGGGAGGACCUGCAGGGGGCUAACCAGGCGCUGUUCGACGGGUUCGGGGCCGCCGGAAUGCACGCCGCCGGCGCCGCGCAGCCGCCGUUCGGGCAGGUGAGCCAAGAACCACCGCCGCGUCCAGCUUUGGCUUUGUUCCGUGUUUCAUCAGUCGCACUAACAGAACUCUGCCUUCUUUCCCCCCGUGCAUCGAAGGCCGGCUCAAUGCCGCCGCCAGCGGCGCAGGGCGGGGCGGCGGCGCCGCCGCGGCAGCGGCAGCGGGCGAGGAGGGGGCAGGCCACCGACCCCCACAGCAUCGCCGAGCGUCUCAGAAGGGAGAGGAUAGCGGAGAGGAUGAAGGCGUUGCAGGAGCUGGUCCCGAACGCCAACAAGACCGACAAGGCAUCGAUGCUCGACGAGAUCAUUGAUUAUGUCAAGUUCCUCCAGCUUCAAGUCAAGGUUCUCAGCAUGAGCCGAUUAGGCGGAGCUGCUGCAGUUGGCCCUCUGGUUGCUGGCUUGUCAUCAGAGAGCAGCGGAAAUGGAAACGGGACCAGCAGCAGCGGCGACGGCAAUGGCGACGAUGACAAUGGUGGCAGCACCUUGCGGGCGACAGAGCAACAGGUGGCGAGGCUGAUGGAGGAGGACAUGGGCACUGCCAUGCAGUACCUGCAGGGCAAGGGGCUCUGCCUGAUGCCGAUCUCCCUUGCCUCGGUCAUCUCCUCCGCAACCUCAUCGUCGCUCCGCUCCGCCACCCGCCCUGCUGGUAAUGCCGGAGGACCCCUGCACGAAGGCGGUAGCCCUGCGUCGCCUCAGUUGGUGAACAGCAUGGGCACCGAUGGCUCCCGGACCAUCGGGGACGGCAGUGGACAGUGA